UACAGAGGGGGCAAGCGUUGUUCGGAAUUACUGGGCGUAAAGGGCGCGUAGGCGGCCUUCUAAGUCGAACGUGAAAUCCCCGGGCUCAACCCGGGAACUGCGUCCGAUACUGGAAGGCUUGAAUCCGGGAGAGGGAUGCGGAAUUCCAGGUGUAGCGGUGAAAUGCGUAGAUAUCUGGAGGAACACCGGUGGCGAAGGCGGCAUCCUGGACCAAUAUUGACGCUGAGGAGCGAAAGCUAGGGGAGCAAACGGG
This 253-nucleotide ribosomal RNA is filed under the name uncultured bacterium. RNAcentral describes it as "partial 16S ribosomal RNA". It matches the Rfam family "Bacterial small subunit ribosomal RNA", at positions 524 to 776 of the family's 1533-position model. The record is from RNAcentral.